CGGCUUCCUACGGGAGGCAGCAGUGGGGAAUAUUGGACAAUGGGGGAAACCCUGAUCCAGCAAUGCCGUGUGUGUGAAGAAGGCCUAAGGGUUGUAAAGCACUUUUGGUAAGGAGGAGAAGCGUUGAACGAAUAAUUCAACGUGGAGACGUUACUUACAGAAUAAGCACCGGCUAACUCUGUGCCAGCAGCCGCGGUAAUACAGAGGGUGCGAGCGUUAAUCGGAAUGAUUGGGCGUAAAGCGCGCGUAGGCGGUAAGAAAAGUUGGAUGUGAAAUCUUCGGGCUUAACCUGGAAACUGCAUCCAAAACUGACUUACUGGAAUUCAGCAGAGGAAAGUAGAAUUUCCAGUGUAGCGGUGAAAUGCGUAGAUAUUGGAAGGAAUACCAGAGGCGAAGGCGGCUUUCUGGGCUGAAAUUGAUGCUAAGGCGCGAAAGCGUGGGGAGCAAACAGGAUUAGAUACCCCAGUAGUCCAAGCCG
This 478-nucleotide ribosomal RNA is filed under the name uncultured bacterium. RNAcentral describes it as "bacterial SSU rRNA". It matches the Rfam family "Bacterial small subunit ribosomal RNA", at positions 332 to 802 of the family's 1533-position model. The record is from RNAcentral.